This 211-nucleotide unclassified non-coding RNA is filed under the name uncultured Ascomycota. RNAcentral describes it as "sequence contains ITS1". The record is from RNAcentral. Lineage: Eukaryota; Fungi; Ascomycota.
AAAAGUAAGGGCCCCGGGGGGCCGUCUAAACAACACCCGUGAGCCCUACGGCGCCAUGCCGGAACGGUUUAACCCACUGUGAAAACCCUUGUUGCUUCGGCAGCGCCUCCCCUCGGGGAGGGUCAGCCUGCCGGCGGCACAAACAGCAAAACCCUUUUUAUGCGAAAAGCAGUUUUUUAAAACGUCUGAGAGCGCAGUCGAAUGACACUUA